This 506-nucleotide ribosomal RNA is filed under the name uncultured bacterium. RNAcentral's name for it is "partial 16S ribosomal RNA". It matches the Rfam family "Bacterial small subunit ribosomal RNA", at positions 29 to 523 of the family's 1533-position model. The record is from RNAcentral.
AGUGAACGCUGGCGGUAGGCCUAACACAUGCAAGUCGAACGGCAGCACAGGAGAGCUUGCUCUCUGGGUGGCGAGUGGCGGACGGGUGAGGAAUACAUCGGAAUCUACUUUUUCGUGGGGGAUAACGUAGGGAAACUUACGCUAAUACCGCAUACGACCUACGGGUGAAAGCAGGGGAUCUUCGGACCUUGCGCGAUUGAAUGAGCCGAUGUCGGAUUAGCUAGUUGGCGGGGUAAAGGCCCACCAAGGCGACGAUCCGUAGCUGGUCUGAGAGGAUGGUCAGCCCCACUGGAACUGAGACACGGUCCAGACUCCUACGGGAGGCAGCAGUGGGGAAUAUUGGACAAUGGGCGCAAGCCUGAUCCAGCCAUACCGCGUGGGUGAAGAAGGCCUUCGGGUUGUAAAGCCCUUUUGUCGGGAAAGAAAUCCAGCUGGUUAAUACCCGGUUGGGAUGACGGUACCCAAAGAAUAAGCACCGGCUAACUUCGUGCCAGCCGCCGCCGUAA